AAUAGAGAUGCUAGACGAUUUUACAACCUUGGACAGUAUUGGAACUAGUUAUGAACAUCAUAAUAGGUCGGUAAUACCAGUCGAUGCUGUAAACUUAUUAA
Long non-coding RNA from Diuraphis noxia (Russian wheat aphid), 101 nucleotides. NCBI's taxonomy places the organism in Eukaryota, Metazoa, Arthropoda, Insecta, Hemiptera, Aphididae. The record is from RefSeq and is a predicted model, not a curated record.